CUUUUUAGGGCUGCACCUGUUGCUAAAGUUUCCAGGCUAGGGGCAGAAUUGGAGCUAUAGCUGCCAGCCUAUGCCACAGCCACAGUAACAUGGAAUCCAAGCCGUGUCUGCGACCUCCACCACAAUCCAUGGCAAUGCCGGAUCCCCAAUCCACUGAGCAAAGCCAGGGAUCCACCCCACAUUCUCAUGGAUACUAGUCAGGUUCUUUACCGCUGAGCCACAAGGGGCGCUNAAUCCAAGCCGUUAAUGACAUUUAAUAAAAUGUUACAAACUUUUCCACACAGUAUUUGUGCGACAUAUUCCCAUGUAUUAAUGUGCAAAGAAUGACAGUGUGCUUGGAUGAGGGAAAUAUAAAUUUAAUUUCUUCAUUAUUUUUUCCUUUUCAGUUUUUUCCAGGUUUUCUAAAUGGAGGCGCUAAUAAAGGAAACAAAACAGGGAAACAAAACAGUGUGCAACAACUUACAUAAACUCUUCUUAAAUCAAUAUUACCCAGUUUGUAAUUUCCUUUUUAGAAAGGGACUCGACUUUGGAAAGCAGACCUAAUGUUUCAUUGUGCUGUCUGCAUAUGGCUACAUCCACUACCAUAAGAAGAUACAUUUGACCAUAAGAAGGAAGGAUGGUUGGGAGAGAAGGAAGGUAUACAUGAAAGGUACUUACCAGUACACCCAUUAAGCUCACACCCAACCCUGAGAAAGGUUUUGUGAAAUGUACAUCUUUUCCUACUUCCUCAGCCAUCGUUCAGACCACCCUGUACAGAACUGUAUCUCCCCACGUAUUACUUAUAGACAAGACAUCUUUGAGAAAGACCCUAAGAAUUUAAACAUGCAGAAAAAUAGAUUUCAAUCCAAGAGCUCAUCCCAACUCUAGAUCAAGGGCAAGAACUGGUGCUAAUAAAUGCAGCUCCCGUAUAUCUGCUUCUUACUAAUUAGCCUUUAAGUGCAAUUAUUAGUUUUAGCUUACUGUAGCAGCAUUGUUUAGGAUAAUUCUUGUGCAUGAUUUUUAUUGAUUUUUACAAGGGACUUGUAAUUCUUUAAUAAAAUCCACAAAAUGACACAAAAAUACACAUUUUAUGUUACUUUUCCUAAUAGAUUUACAGGAAAUUUUCUAAUAAAAAUGAUAGGCUCUAAGUUAGUGAUAAAGAAGAGAAGCUGACAGAAGAAAAAUGCUUCCAUGGGAAUGCACUGAAGUAGAAUUUCAGGGAUGAAAUCGCAUGGCUUCCACAGAUAACCUGACCAGAGGAGAGCAGAGCCAGAUGCACCUGGCACACAUUUCUUCACUGUUCAUCUCGUCCCCUCCAAAUCCCUUUCUAGGUUUUUGCUCUUGAUUUUCUACAGUGGCAUAUACCUUCAUAACUCAAAUAUUCUCUCACUGAGUUAUGACCCCCAAACAGCUGUGAGUAACAUCUGUAAGGCUUGCCUUCUAAAGGACUUAAGCUGGGCUGCUGAUAAACUGGGAGUCAAUCUUUCACUGCCAUGAUGUAUUCACUGCACUAAGAACUAUUUCCAUUGUAAAUUAAUUCCUGAGAUGUUGGACCUUAAAUGUCAUCAGCAUCAUUACCCAACCUGCUCCCAGAAGCAGUGACUCUGUCAGUCUGCUGCAGGUGCUAGCUUCUAAAAGUAAGAUGCUCCAAACCAAAUACAUUAAACCAUGACUCCAUCCAUGCUUUCAAAGGCCUCUUUAUUUUAUGCUGCUUGGCAAAGAGAUUAAUGCAUGCCAUUUCAGAUAUGCAACUGGCUUCUGGGUUUUUCUUUUGCCCUUUUAGGAGGAGGUACAUUUCAGUGCUUCUUAACAAAAAUAUAUUUCCCAAACAUUCCUUCUUUAGAAGACUAUAAGGUCCAGUCAGAAUUUAUCCUCUUUUACAUCUGUUUGGAAUAUAUGGACUUAAUAACCAGUUGUCAGGCCCUUAUUGAGUCAUCAGUAUGCAGAGAAUUUAUGUGGAGGCCUAAAAGAAUCAGGCAGUACAGGGCUCCCCUUGAGGAGUUUAGGUUUCUGUAGAAUGAGAAGCAACCCUACCAUGAUGAAUCAGGCAACAGAUAACAUGUGAAGCUAAUUUCAGGCAUUAGCCACCUCGGGCCCUCAUUAUACAUUUUGCAGUGAAAAAAUGUUCUCAGGGAAACCAGAGUAAAUUAAGGUUUAAAUGUUGGGAAGACAUCUUGUUGAAUAGCACAUCACUUGGAAUAUUAAAUUGAUUCCACAAUUGAUAUGCAGAGGAGAGAGAAUUUUAAAGGUAGUUUUCUUGUUUGUCUUUGGAAGAUGUCCUUUCUUUCCCAACUGUUCAGAUUAAUUCAGUGGAGUGUACAUAAAUCUGAAGCUCAGGAUGUAAAAUCUGAUGACAAAACUUAGGUGCUGUCAAAGAAAAGUAUUAUCUCUUUAAUCUAUCUUCGGAUUUUGUACGCCGGGUAAGCACUAAAGAAGUUGGUAUGGAAAUGUUAAAAGCCAUUUACCUGAAGGUGAAAGUAUGAUGGAAUAAUUCUAAAUUCAUGUCCAAUUAGUUUAAAUAAUGAGAGGCUGAUUGGAGUCCCUCAAUGCCUACAUCCAAAGGGACUUUAAUAUACUGCCUUGUUUUAAUAACAAGUAUUUAUUGAGAAUUUACCUAAGGAUAGUCACUGCAAUCAUUCAUUUACAUAGUUUUAUAGAUUAUGAAACCAUGAGAGGUUAUAUUAAGAAAUUAAUUCAAAUGUAAGACUAGCAUUCAAGCCCAAGACAGAAUCAGUUCCUUUUUUCCUAUAGCUAGAGUGUUCACAUUUAAAAGAAAGCAGAAGGAGCGUCAAGACGGUGGAGGAGUAGGACGUCACACUCACCUUGUCCCACAAACACCUCAAAAAGCACAUCUACAUGGAGAACAAUUCACACAGAACAUCUACUGAACGCUGGCAGAAAAACGCAAACCUCCAAAAGGGCAAGAAGCCCUUCUUCUUGGUAGAACGAAAGUAAAAAAAGGAGGAGAGAGAGGAAAGAUAUCAGGACGGGACUAGCAUUCCUGAGAGGGAGCUGUGAAAGAGAAAAGGAACCCACACCCUGGGAAGCCACCUAACUGACGAGGUCAGCCGAGACGAGGGACCUCGAGGUCACCAAGAAAAGCGCAGCAGCUGGACUGAGGAGGGCAAAGCAGAGCGAGAGUCACAGAGAUCAUCUCCACCACACAGCCUGACAUGCAGAGGCGAGCGCUGGGCACUGAGAUUCAGGGUCUGGAGGUCAGUUCUGGGCAGAGGACUAGGGGUGGCUGUGUGGAGACAGCCUGAGGGGCUAGGGAGUGGUGUGCCAUGGGAUGGGGAGCAGAACACAACAGCCAAGGGAACCUGGGAGGAGAUCUGGGCCCACAGGAGAAGCGAGUCACCACUGCUGGGGAGGGCGAGGGGAGGAGGGGCGGACUGCCAUAGGAAUCUCCUUCCCUGCACAUGCGCAGGCUCUGAGAGGAGGGGGCACCUCUGGUGCAGGCUACGGGUGGUGGGUGGCUAGAGGCAACUUGCUUGGGCUAUGGGAGACCGGUGCCUCUUGUGCGGGAUAAGGGAAGUGGGGGGCUAAGUGUGACACAGUGCCUCUUGGGUGAUCUGCAGGUGGUAGGAACAAACCACAGCAGUCAUCUCAGAAACCAGAUGGGGCGUGGCCCACCACCACUAGGGAUCCUUGAACAGGCACCACUUGGGGCUCCAAUCAACUCAGAGGAUACCACACAGGAGGGCACAGCCACCCAACACCACCCGCUGUUGCUCUCACUCCCCUGGGAACUCACAUACCCUGCCAAUGACACUCCCAAAUAGUCUAGGCAUCGCCUAAAUCUGCCUGAUGCUCAUGACCACUUCCCAGGACUCUGCAACUAGGAGCAGCCUGCGUGACCUUCUGGCAGGUCCUUGCUACUAUCAAGAGUUCAACAACCGGUCACUACUAGCCCUACCCAUUGCCUCCUCCUCCCAGGAAACACAUUCAGCACCCUGGGGAUAAGAGCUCACACCGAAGAAGGAGACAGCAAAUAUCCAAACUCCCACACCAAAAAUAAAUAGUAACAACUCCUGCACAAAAUAUAAAGAGGUGCUGUUGCAUAGAAAGAGCCCUCCAAGAAUACAGUAGUUGGUUUCUCUAAAUUCACGGGAAAAGAAAUAUAAACAAAAUGAAGAAGCUCAGGAACAAUUCCCAGUUAAAAGAAUAGAAGAAUUCACCUGAAGCAGCAAACAAUAAAACAGACCUCUUCAGUCUAAUAGACCCUGAGUUCAAAAGGGAGAUAGUGAAAAUACUGAAGGAAUUAAUGGUGGAUAUGAAGGAAUUAAGUAUGAAUAGAGACAGUAAUAUGGUUUAUUUUAGAAAAGUACUAGAAAAUAUAAGGAGGAGGAACAAAGAAAAAUUAGAAAAUUUACUUGCAGAGACACAAACUGAGUUAAAGGCACUAAAGAACAGAAUGGAUAAUGCAGAGGAACAAAUUAAUGACUUGGAAGACAGAUUAAUGAAAAUCACCCAAUCAGGACAGCAGAGAGAAAACCAAAUGAAAAAACAUGAAAGCAAUAUGAGAGAUUUAUGGGAUACCAUAAAGCAGGCCAAUCUACACAUAAUAGGGAUUCCAGAAGGAGAAGAAAAAUAAAAGGGGGUUGAAAAUAUAUGUGAAGAAAUUAUGCCUGAAAACUUCUCAAAUCUAAAGGAAACAGUUACCAAAAUACAGGAGUCACAGAGAGCUCCAAAUAAGUUGAACCCAAACAGGCCCACAGCAAGACAAGGUAUAAUAAAAAUAGCAAAAGUAAAAGAGAAGAUUCAAAAGGUAACAAGAGAAAAGCAAAGCAUUAAUUAUAAGGGAACCCCCAUAAGGCUAUCAUCUGAUUUCUCUAAAGAAACACUACAGGCCAGAAGAGAGUGGCAAGAUAUAUUCAAAUUCUAAAAGGGAAAAGUUUGCAGCCUAGGAUACUCCACCCUGCAAGAAUAUCAUUUAAAAUAGAAAGAGAAAUAAAGAAUUUCUCCAACAAACAAAAACUAAAAGAGUACAGCAAUACUAACACCAUUCUAGAGAAAUACAGAAAGGGCUUCUCUAAAUAAAAAAGAAGUAAAAAGAAAUAGGAUGGAGGAAAUCACAAUUGGAAAGCAAUCACUUAAAUAAGCCAGUAUACAGAUCUAAAAAGGAGAAAAAAAAACUAGUGUAAAGUGACAGUAAACACAAGGAACAGCAAAAGUACAAACAUGAAGAUGUUAAAAAAAGGCUACAAAAUCAUAGAAAGUGAGGAAGGAGAAUAAAGACAUCUAGACUCUUUUUUAAAUCAUGUGUUUGAGCCUAUGACUAUCAGGCUAAAGAAACCAGAUAUAGGAAUGGGUUAACAUACUUGAAAAACAGGGCAACCACAAAUAAGAGCCAAACAUUACAUUCACAAAAACUAAAAAGAAAAGCAAAGAGGCAUAAAAUAAAAGGAAAUCAUCAAACCAAAGAAAGAAAGGAACGAAGGAGAAACAGAAUCAACUGGAAACCAAGAUUUAAAAUGGCAAUAAAUACAUAUUUAUCAGUAAUUAUCUUAAAUGUCAGUGGACUGAAUGCUCCAAUCGAAAGACACAGAGUGGCAGACUGGAUAAAAAGGAUCUAUGAUCUGCUGUCUACAAGAGACUCACCUUAGGGCAAAAGACACAUAUAGAUUGAAAGUGAGGGGAUGGGAAAAGAUAUUUCAUGCCAAUGGACAAGACAGUAAAACAGGAGUUG
This 5668-nucleotide long non-coding RNA is filed under the name Sus scrofa (pig). Its description in RNAcentral is "lncRNA (ENSSSCG00035070472.1)". The record is from RNAcentral. Lineage: Eukaryota; Metazoa; Chordata; Mammalia; Artiodactyla; Suidae.